ACGGCAGCGCGGGGCAACCUGGUGGCGAGUGGCGAACGGGUGAGUAAUAUAUCGGAACGUACCCUAGAGUGGGGGAUAACGUAGCGAAAGUUACGCUAAUACCGCAUACGAUCUACGGAUGAAAGUGGGGGAUCGCAAGACCUCAUGCUCGUGGAGCGGCCGAUAUCUGAUUAGCUAGUUGGCGGGGUAAAAGCCCACCAAGGCAUCGAUCAGUAGCUGGUCUGAGAGGACGACCAGCCACACUGGAACUGAGACACGGUCCAGACUCCUACGGGAGGCAGCAGUGGGGAAUUUUGGACAAUGGGCGCAAGCCUGAUCCAGCAAUGCCGCGUGAGUGAAGAAGGCCUUCGGGUUGUAAAGCUCUUUUGUCAGGGAAGAAACGGUGGUCUCUAAUACAGGCUGCUAAUGACGGUACCUGAAGAAUAAGCACCGGCUAACUACGUGCCAGCAGCCGCGGUAAU
RNAcentral lists this ribosomal RNA (461 nucleotides) under uncultured bacterium. Its description in RNAcentral is "bacterial SSU rRNA". It matches the Rfam family "Bacterial small subunit ribosomal RNA", at positions 66 to 524 of the family's 1533-position model. The record is from RNAcentral.